RNAcentral lists this small RNA (124 nucleotides) under unclassified sequences. RNAcentral's name for it is "LOOT RNA". It matches the Rfam family "LOOT RNA". From Rfam's summary of the family: Latescibacteria, OD1/Parcubacteria, OP11, TM7. Lineage (Microgenomates, aka OP11) The record is from Rfam by way of RNAcentral.
AGCCUAACCCUUUGGUCUAAACGCCCAAGAUAUGGUUAAAAAUCCACGUGAAUAAAGACGGUCUUCUGAUCGGCAUUAUUCACGUGGUCAACAUCCGAAAGGGUGUUGGGCGACGCAAGUUGCC